This 1263-nucleotide ribosomal RNA is filed under the name uncultured bacterium. Its description in RNAcentral is "bacterial SSU rRNA". It matches the Rfam family "Bacterial small subunit ribosomal RNA", at positions 1 to 1256 of the family's 1533-position model. The record is from RNAcentral.
AGUCCGGGACGAUUAGAGUUUGAUCCUGGCUCAGAUUGAACGCUGGCGGCAGGCCUAACACAUGCAAGUCGAGCGGCAGCACGGGAAGCUUGCUUCCUGGUGGCGAGCGGCGGACGGGUGAGUAAUGCAUAGAAAUCUGCCCGGUAGUGGGGGAUAACCUGGGGAAACCCAGGCUAAUACCGCAUACGUCCUACGGGAGAAAGCAGGGGAUCUUCGGACCUUGCGCUAUCGGAUGAGUCUAUGUCGGAUUAGCUUGUUGGUGAGGUAAUGGCUCACCAAGGCGACGAUCCGUAGCUGGUCUGAGAGGAUGAUCAGCCACAUCGGGACUGAGACACGGCCCGAACUCCUACGGGAGGCAGCAGUGGGGAAUAUUGGACAAUGGGCGAAAGCCUGAUCCAGCCAUGCCGCGUGUGUGAAGAAGGCCUUCGGGUUGUAAAGCACUUUCAGUGGGGAAGAAAGCCUUGGGGCUAAUACCCUCGAGGAAGGACAUCACCCACAGAAGAAGCACCGGCUAACUCCGUGCCAGCAGCCGCGGUAAUACGGAGGGUGCGAGCGUUAAUCGGAAUUACUGGGCGUAAAGCGCGCGUAGGCGGUCUGAUAAGCCGGUUGUGAAAGCCCCGGGCUCAACCUGGGAACGGCAUCCGGAACUGUCAGGCUAGAGUGCAGGAGAGGAAGGUAGAAUUCCCGGUGUAGCGGUGAAAUGCGUAGAGAUCGGGAGGAAUACCAGUGGCGAAGGCGGCCUUCUGGACUGACACUGACGCUGAGGUGCGAAAGCGUGGGUAGCAAACAGGAUUAGAUACCCUGGUAGUCCACGCCGUAAACGAUGUCGACUAGCCGUUGGGCUCCUUGAGAGCUUUGUGGCGCAGUUAACGCGAUAAGUCGACCGCCUGGGGGAGUACGGCCGCAAGGUUAAAACUCAAAUGAAUUUGACGGGGGGCCCGCACAAGCGGUGGAGCAUGUGGUUUAAUUCGAUGCAACGCGAAGACCCUUACCUACCCUUGACAUCGUGCGAACUUUCCAGAGAAUGGAUUGGUGCCUUCGGGAGCGCACAGACAGUGCUGCAUGCCUGUCGUCAGCUCGUGUUGUGAAAUGUUGGGUUAGUCCCGUACGAGCGCCAACCUUGUUCCUUAUUUGCAGCGCGUAUGGCGGACUCUAGGAAACUGCGGUGACAACGAAGAAGUUGGGACAACGCUCAAGUCACAUGCCUUACGGUAAGGCCUACACACGUCUACAUUGUCCGGGUUACAAGGGUGUGGCAAGUUC